GGGGAGGAAGUGCACUGCAGGCGUGAUGAGCGCCUCCUCCAGUGGGAACUUCCUUCAGGACAUAAAUCAUUCAGUCGUCUUACAGCUACCUCAUCCUCCUGAAAAAGCAGAGGGAUUCUGAGUUCACAGAGCCAGAGGAGGUAUGAGGUCUGUACGUCCUCUGGAGAUGGUACUGGAAGUGGAGAUAAGGAAACUGAGGUUCAGAGGAGUGGAAUAAUUUACCCUGAGGUGCAUCGUUAGGAAGCGGAGCAGCAGAGAUCGGAAGGCAAUGUGGUCAGACUCCAAGCACUGCAGUUGAACUUGCCCUUGUAUAGGAUGCCUCUCACUGUGGUGCCAUCAGUGAGAAGUCCUGUGUUGCUCUGAGAGGCUGAAGGCUUGAGGUCAUGGUGGCUCUGUCCCACAGGCGCACACUGUGGGAUUUACACUGUGGAUUUACAAAGUACUUAUAUCUCCUGCACAUCAUCUCGUUAUCCUACACAGCUGGCUGAGUAGGUAUUUUUUCCCAUUUACCAGGCUGGGAAACCAGUUGUCAUGUCCCAAAGCACAUAAGUUGAAUCCUGGGAGGCAGUGUCAGUGUCAGUGUCAAUGACAACACACUGCUCCUGCCUGGGCUCAUCAUAAGUGUAGGGGCCCUCAGGUGCACCUGAAACAAACUGACCAAUGUGUUCUGAUCUCUCAGCACUUGACUCUGCAGGCUGCAGGACUUUCACACCUAGAGCAGGGACAGGCCCAGAAAAGCAUGUUCUAAGCAUGCUCCUCUGCAGGUAGGGACAGAGAAUAUGAGCUGGAAGCCCUCCCUGCUGCCUGCCUGGGCUUCUAAUAUGUUGGCUUUGCUCAUGCUCGAUGUCAACACAUGUUAGAGAAGAGAGACAUUAGGAAGCACAGGGUCUGGUCUUGACUUUGCUGCCGAUUAACUACGUGGCCUUGGGCAAGUCCUAUCACUUCUGGGAACAUUAGUUUUCUCAUGUAUAGAGAGGGGAAAUGAUAUCUACCUUGAAAAUCCCUCAGGGAUUUUUGUAAGGGUGGAAUAAUGUGAUGUAAUACAAAGGACUUCAAGAACAACAAAUCUCUCCACAUUUAUGGAAGGAUGAUUUCAGGCGGAGAAACUGAGGCCUAGAAGGAGAGCAUGGAUAGGCAACUUUAUUGAGCAUCUCCUACUAGCUCUGUACAGAUUUAUCUGUUACAACCUUCCACACAGCUCUUUGGAGAGGGAGUCUAGGAUUUUCUGUUUCUGAUCCCAGAUAAAUAGCUCUCAUUAACCCAAGAAUGAAUUUCAAGGAAGUUACGGCACUUAGAAAGUGCAAAGGGAAAUCUUGAAAGGAAAAAACGAGAAAGAACAGCCUUAGAUUCUGUGUGCAAACUCCGCUAAGUAAGUAGCUAACAAAGUUGCCCAGCUGAGACUAAAGGAACUGAAUAUUAGGUUCCAUCCACUGAAAGGGUGACAGUUUGCAGGGAGAGGUCAGUCAAGCUAACUAUUGAAACAAACACUAUUAUUCUUUAUUGUAGCAUACAGAACCCACAGUCUCUCUGACAUAUCAUUCACAAUGUCCAGAAUGCAAUUCAAAAUUACUAGACAUAGGGAGAAAUGGGGAAACUUGACCCGUAGGAAAUAAUCAAUUGUUACUGUUCUAAAGCAACUCCGUUACUAGAAUUAACUGGUCUUAUAUCUAUGCUUAAGAAU
Molecule: long non-coding RNA, 1681 nt
Organism: Chinchilla lanigera (long-tailed chinchilla)
Lineage: Eukaryota; Metazoa; Chordata; Mammalia; Rodentia; Chinchillidae
Exons: 3
Source: RefSeq, a predicted model, not a curated record